This 568-nucleotide ribosomal RNA is filed under the name Leotiomycetes sp. C_2_BESC_319e. Its description in RNAcentral is "eukaryotic LSU rRNA". It matches the Rfam family "Eukaryotic large subunit ribosomal RNA", at positions 1 to 574 of the family's 3401-position model. Lineage: Eukaryota; Fungi; Ascomycota; Leotiomycetes. The record is from RNAcentral.
ACCUCGGAUCAGGUAGGGAUACCCGCUGAACUUAAGCAUAUCAAUAAGCGGAGGAAAAGAAACCAACAGGGAUUACCUCAGUAACGGCGAGUGAAGCGGUAACAGCUCAAAUUUGAAAUCUGGCUCUUUCAGGGUCCGAGUUGUAAUUUGUAGAAGAUGCUUUGGGUGUGGCCCUGGUCUAAGUUCCUUGGAACAGGACGUCAUAGAGGGUGAGAAUCCCGUAUGUGACUAGGUGCNUUCGCCCGUGUAAAGCUCUUUCGACGAGUCGAGUUGUUUGGGAAUGCAGCUCAAAAUGGGUGGUAAAUUUCAUCUAAAGCUAAAUAUUGGCCAGAGACCGAUAGCGCACAAGUAGAGUGAUCGAAAGAUGAAAAGCACUUUGGAAAGAGAGUUAAACAGUACGUGAAAUUGUUGAAAGGGAAGCGCUUGCAACCAGANUUAGUUGCGGCCGAUCAUNUAGGGUUCUCCNUGGUGCACUCGGUCGUAUCUAGGCCAGCAUCGGUUUGGGUGGUGGGAUAAAGGCCUUGGGAAUGUAGCUUCUUUCGGGGAGUGUUAUAGCCCUCGGUGCAAU